GAUGAACACUGGCGGCGUGCCUAAUACAUGCCAGUCGAGCGAACAGACGAGGAGCUUGCUCCUCUGACGUUAGCGGCGGACGGGUGAGUAACACGUGGAUAACCUACCUAUAAGACUGGGAUAACUUCGGGAAACCGGAGCUAAUACCGGAUAAUAUAUUGAACCGCAUGGUUCAAUAGUGAAAGACGGUUUUGCUGUCACUUAUAGAUGGAUCCGCGCCGCAUUAGCUAGUUGGUAAGGUAACGGCUUACCAAGGCAACGAUGCGUAGCCGACCUGAGAGGGUGAUCGGCCACACUGGAACUGAGACACGGUCCAGACUCCUACGGGAGGCAGCAGUAGGGAAUCUUCCGCAAUGGGCGAAAGCCUGACGGAGCAACGCCGCGUGAGUGAUGAAGGUCUUCGGAUCGUAAAACUCUGUUAUUAGGGAAGAACAAAUGUGUAAGUAACUAUGCACGUCUUGACGGUACCUAAUCAGAAAGCCACGGCUAACUACGUG
This 497-nucleotide ribosomal RNA is filed under the name uncultured bacterium. RNAcentral describes it as "partial 16S ribosomal RNA". It matches the Rfam family "Bacterial small subunit ribosomal RNA", at positions 28 to 507 of the family's 1533-position model. The record is from RNAcentral.